AUGCUCACUUUGGCAGCACACAUACUAAAAUUGAAACAAUAUAGAGAAGAUUAGCAUGGUCCCUGCCCAAGGAUGAUAUACAAAUUCAUGAAGCAUUUCAUAUUUUA
Small nuclear RNA from Molossus molossus (Pallas's mastiff bat), 107 nucleotides. NCBI's taxonomy places the organism in Eukaryota, Metazoa, Chordata, Mammalia, Chiroptera, Molossidae. The record is from RefSeq and is a predicted model, not a curated record.